GACGAACGCUGGCGGCGUGCUUAACACAUGCAAGUCGAACGCUGAAGCACCAGCUUGCUGGUGUGGAUGAGUGGCGAACGGGUGAGUAAUACGUGAGUAACCUGCCCUUGACUCUGGGAUAAGCCCGGGAAACUGGGUCUAAUACUGGAUGCUACAUGUCACCGCGUGGUGGUGUGUGGAAAGGGUUUACUGGUCUUGGAUGGGCUCACGGCCUAUCAGCUUGUUGGUGAGGUAAUGGCUCACCAAGGCGACGACGGGUAGCCGGCCUGAGAGGGUGACCGGCCACACUGGGACUGAGACACGGCCCAGACUCCUACGGGAGGCAGCAGUGGGGAAUAUUGCACAAUGGGCGAAAGCCUGAUGCAGCGACGCCGCGUGAGGGAUGACGGCCUUCGGGUUGUAAACCUCUUUCAGCAGGGAAGAAGCCACAAGUGACAGUACCUGCAGAAGAAGCGCCGGCUAACUACGUG
This 470-nucleotide ribosomal RNA is filed under the name uncultured bacterium. RNAcentral describes it as "partial 16S ribosomal RNA". It matches the Rfam family "Bacterial small subunit ribosomal RNA", at positions 28 to 507 of the family's 1533-position model. The record is from RNAcentral.